UAGGGAAUCUUCCACAAUGGACGAAAGUCUGAUGGAGCAACGCCGCGUGAGUGAUGAAGGGUUUCGGCUCGUAAAACUCUGUUGUUGGAGAAGAACGGGUGUCAGAGUAACUGUUGACAUCGUGACGGUAUCCAACCAGAAAGCCACGGCUAACUACGUGCCAGCAGCCGCGGUAAUACGUAGGUGGCAAGCGUUGUCCGGAUUUAUUGGGCGUAAAGCGAGCGCAGGCGGUUUUUUAGGUCUGAUGUGAAAGCCUUCGGCUUAACCGGAGAAGUGCAUCGGAAACCGGGAGACUUGAGUGCAGAAGAGGACAGUGGAACUCCAUGUGUAGCGGUGAAAUGCGUAGAUAUAUGGAAGAACACCAGUGGCGAAGGCGGCUGUCUGGUCUGCAACUGACGCUGAGGCUCGAAAGCAUGGGUAGCGAACAGGAUUAGAUACCCUGGUAGUCCAUGCCGUAAACGAUGAGUGCUAAGUGUUGGAGGGUUUCCGCCCUUCAGUGCUGCAGCUAACGCAUUAAGCACUCCGCCUGGGGGAGUACGACCGCAAGGUU
This 550-nucleotide ribosomal RNA is filed under the name uncultured bacterium. Its description in RNAcentral is "partial 16S ribosomal RNA". It matches the Rfam family "Bacterial small subunit ribosomal RNA", at positions 355 to 895 of the family's 1533-position model. The record is from RNAcentral.